This 429-nucleotide ribosomal RNA is filed under the name Bacteroidota bacterium. Its description in RNAcentral is "Bacteroidetes bacterium partial 16S ribosomal RNA". It matches the Rfam family "Bacterial small subunit ribosomal RNA", at positions 355 to 776 of the family's 1533-position model. The record is from RNAcentral. Lineage: Bacteria; Pseudomonadati; Bacteroidota.
UAGGGAAUCUUCGGCAAUGGGGGGAACCCUGACCGAGCAACGCCGCGUGAGUGAAGAAGGUUUUCGGAUCGUAAAGCUCUGUUGUUAAGGAAGAACGAGUGUGAGAAUGGAAAGUUCAUACUGUGACGGUACUUAACCAGAAAGGGACGGCUAACUACGUGCCAGCAGCCGCGGUAAUACGUAGGUCCCGAGCGUUGUCCGGAUUUAUUGGGCGUAAAGCGAGCGCAGGCGGUUAGAAAAGUCUGAAGUGAAAGGCAGUGGCUCAACCAUUGUAGGCUUUGGAAACUGUUUAACUUGAGUGCAGAAGGGGAGAGUGGAAUUCCAUGUGUAGCGGUGAAAUGCGUAGAGAUAUGGAGGAACACCAGUGGCGAAGGCGACUUUCUGGUCUGUAACUGACGCUGAUGUGCGAAAGCGUGGGGAUCAAACAGG